This 86-nucleotide transfer RNA is filed under the name Fasciola hepatica (liver fluke). RNAcentral's name for it is "tRNA-His". The record is from RNAcentral. Lineage: Eukaryota; Metazoa; Platyhelminthes; Trematoda; Plagiorchiida; Fasciolidae.
UCCGACGAGGCGGACUCGAACCACCGACCCAAGGAUCAACGCACGACCGGCACAGCCCUCCGCUCUACCAACUGAGCUACCGCCGG